This is a long non-coding RNA of Stomoxys calcitrans (stable fly), 388 nucleotides long. RefSeq lists it as uncharacterized. The record is from RefSeq and is a predicted model, not a curated record. Lineage: Eukaryota; Metazoa; Arthropoda; Insecta; Diptera; Muscidae. The transcript is spliced from 2 exons.
CGACGAAUGGCUCUCCUACUAGCCCUGUCACUCUCGGGAUGCACAAUUAAUUGACGGCUAAACAACCUGGUGCAUCUCUUGGUGUUGCGUGGUGCACUAAUUAUGCACUCUGCCCACUAACUACGCAUAUGAUUACAAGACGUCAUCUCAUUUUUGGCAAUCUGGUACUCGACUAGCUGAGCAUCUGUCAUAGGCAAUCAGCGAUGACUCUGUCCUUUUGCAGAUGAAUCUACAUGUGAAUGGUCGUCAACCAUUGCUAGUAGGAAGUAUUUUUUUAAUAUUGCCAAACAAAUUGAGAGAAGUGCGCCAGACUAAGCCCCAGCCAAACACAAAUAUUUUAGUGUUGUCACCAAUUGAAAUAAAAUCAGUUUUGGAUCACUCAAAAUAA